This is a long non-coding RNA of Zea mays, 344 nucleotides long. RefSeq lists it as uncharacterized. NCBI's taxonomy places the organism in Eukaryota, Viridiplantae, Streptophyta, Magnoliopsida, Poales, Poaceae. The record is from RefSeq and is a predicted model, not a curated record. The transcript is spliced from 3 exons.
UCUUGAACACCGAAGCUCCUGACUUGUACAUAAGGCAGAAUCCUGUUCCAAAUGCCUACACCUUAGCAAUCAACGGCAAAAAACCAUUCAUUGUCGUUCACACAAGCCUUGUGGAGCUGCUUACUCCAAGGGAAUUGCAGGCUGUUUUGGCUCAUGAGAUGGGUCACCUCAAGUGCGAUCAUGGUGUUUGGCUCACUUUUGCCAAUAUACUCACAAUGGGAGCAUACACUGUCCCUGGUUUUGGCAUGGUUGCUGGCUUUCUGGAAGAGCAGCUAUAUAGAUGGCUACAAGCUGCAGAGCUGACUUGUGACAGGGCAGCUCUUCUUGUGGUGCAAGACCCGAAG